UACGUAGGGACCAAGCGUUGUUCGGAUUUACUGGGCGUAAAGGGCGCGUAGGCGGCAAAUUAAGUCAGCUGUGAAAUCUCCGAGCUUAACUCGGAACUGUCAGCUGAUACUGAUCUGCUAGAGUGCGGAAGGGGCAAUCGGAAUUCUUGGUGUAGCGGUGAAAUGCGUAGAUAUCAAGAGGAACACCUGAGGUGAAGACGGGUUGCUGGGCCGACACUGACGCUGAGUGCGCGAAAGCCAGGGGAGCAAACGGG
This 254-nucleotide ribosomal RNA is filed under the name uncultured bacterium. RNAcentral's name for it is "partial 16S ribosomal RNA". It matches the Rfam family "Bacterial small subunit ribosomal RNA", at positions 524 to 776 of the family's 1533-position model. The record is from RNAcentral.